This 677-nucleotide ribosomal RNA is filed under the name uncultured bacterium. Its description in RNAcentral is "bacterial SSU rRNA". It matches the Rfam family "Bacterial small subunit ribosomal RNA", at positions 80 to 756 of the family's 1533-position model. The record is from RNAcentral.
UAUCUAUGGUGGCGACCGGCGCACGGGUGCGUAACGCGUAUGCAACCUACCUUUAACAGGGGGAUAACACUGAGAAAUUGGUACUAAUACCCCAUAAUAUCAUAGAAGGCAUCUUUUAUGGUUGAAAAUUCCGAUGGUUAGAGAUGGGCAUGCGUUGUAUUAGCUAGUUGGUGGGGUAACGGCUCACCAAGGCGACGAUACAUAGGGGGACUGAGAGGUUAACCCCCCACACUGGUACUGAGACACGGACCAGACUCCUACGGGAGGCAGCAGUGAGGAAUAUUGGCCAAUGGACGCAAGUCUGAACCAGCCAUGCCGCGUGCAGGAUGACGGCUCUAUGAGUUGUAAACUGCUUUUGUACGAGGGUAAACGCAGAUACGUGUAUCUGUCUGAAAGUAUCGUACGAAUAAGGAUCGGCUAACUCCGUGCCAGCAGCCGCGGUAAUACGGAGGAUUCAAGCGUUAUCCGGAUUUAUUGGGUUUAAAGGGUGCGUAGGCGGUUUGAUAAGUUAGAGGUGAAAUUUCGGGGCUCAACCCUGAACGUGCCUCUAAUACUGUUGAGCUAGGGAGUAGUUGCGGUAGGCGGAAUGUAUGGUGUAGCGGUGAAAUGCUUAGAGAUCAUACAGAACACCGAUUGCGAAGGCAGCUUACCAAACUAUAUCUGACGUUGAGGCACGA